RNAcentral lists this ribosomal RNA (1024 nucleotides) under Apis mellifera (honey bee). RNAcentral's name for it is "SSU rRNA". It matches the Rfam family "Eukaryotic small subunit ribosomal RNA", at positions 44 to 997 of the family's 1831-position model. Lineage: Eukaryota; Metazoa; Arthropoda; Insecta; Hymenoptera; Apidae. The record is from RNAcentral.
AUUAGCCAUGCAUGUCUCAGUACAUGCCGAAUUAAGGUGAAACCGCGAAUGGCUCAUUAAAUCAGUUAUGGUUCAUUAGAUCGUGGACACAUUUACUUGGAUAACUGUGGUAAUUCUAGAGCUAAUACAUGCAAACAGAAUUCCUCUCAGAGAUGGGAGGAAUGCUUUUAUUAGAUCAAAACCAAUCGGUGGCGGACGGCUCGUCCGUUCGUCCAUCGUUUGUUUUGGUGACUCUGAAUAACUUUGUGCUGAUCGCAUGGUCAUCUAGCACCGGCGACGCAUCUUUCAAAUGUCUGCCUUAUCAACUGUCGAUGGUAGGUUCUGCGCCUACCAUGGUUGUAACGGGUAACGGGGAAUCAGGGUUCGAUUCCGGAGAGGGAGCCUGAGAAACAGCUACCACAUCCAAGGAAGGCAGCAGGCGCGCAAAUUACCCACUCCCGGCACGGGGAGGUAGUGACGAAAAAUAACGAUACGGGACUCAUCCGAGGCCCCGUAAUCGGAAUGAGUACACUUUAAAUCCUUUAACGAGGACCAAUUGGAGGGCAAGUCUGGUGCCAGCAGCCGCGGUAAUUCCAGCUCCAAUAGCGUAUAUUAAAGUUGUUGCGGUUAAAAAGCUCGUAGUUGAAUCUGUGUGUCACAGUGUCGGUUCACCGCUCGCGGUGUUUAACUGGCAUUAUGUGGUACGUCCUAUCGGUGGGCUUAGCUCCUUGCGGGCGGUCCAACUAAUAUCCCAUCGCGGUGCUCUUCACUGAGUGUCGAGGUGGGCCGAUACGUUUACUUUGAAAAAAUUAGAGUGCUUAAAGCAGGCUACCUUUGCCUGAAUACUGUGUGCAUGGAAUAAUGGAAUAGGACCUCGGUUCUAUUUUGUUGGUUUUCGGAACCCCGAGGUAAUGAUUAAUAGGGACAGAUGGGGGCAUUCGUAUUGCGACGUUAGAGGUGAAAUUCUUGGAUCGUCGCAAGACGGACAGAAGCGAAAGCAUUUGCCCAAAAAUGUUUUCAUUAAUCAAGAACGAAAGUUAGAGGU